UACGUAGGGGGCAAGCGUUGUCCGGAAUUAUUGGGCGUAAAGAGCUCGUAGGCGGUCUGUUGCGUCGGCUGUGAAAACCCGGGGCUCAACCCCGGGCCUGCAGCCGAUACGGGCAGACUAGAGUUCGGCAGGGGAGACUGGAAUUCCUGGUGUAGCGGUGAAAUGCGCAGAUAUCAGGAGGAACACCGGUGGCGAAGGCGGGUCUCUGGGCCGAUACUGACGCUGAGGAGCGAAAGCAUGGGGAGCGAACAGG
RNAcentral lists this ribosomal RNA (253 nucleotides) under uncultured bacterium. RNAcentral's name for it is "partial 16S ribosomal RNA". It matches the Rfam family "Bacterial small subunit ribosomal RNA", at positions 524 to 776 of the family's 1533-position model. The record is from RNAcentral.